GCUCCUGCGGUUACUAAGUAGGCCACUUUACAUCUGAUAAAAACGCUGUUUUCGCUCAGACUUUCCAGCGAGGCAGGAAAUGAUAACAGCCAGCCUUCUUCUGCUUUAUAUACACAGAGAGGUAAGUGCAGCAGAUUCAAACUGGGCUCUUCACAUUCAGGACGGCUGGAUUCUCGGGGGCUGUCUUGUGGACAGGAGAACAUUCAGAGGCAAGAUGCCGGUCAGAUUCAGCGACAUGAGUAACCUGGCCUCCCCGAAGACGGUGAGCCGGCUGCUGGAGAUGCUCUUCACCUGCGCGGCCUUCAGCCUGGCGAGGGCAGCGGGGCUCCGCGGCUGGAGCGAGGCCUUCGCCACUUUCGCCAUGUUCACCUGGUGCUUCUCCUUCGCCGCCACCCUGCUCGUCUUCCUGGCCGAGUUCACGCAGUUCCACAGCCUCCUCGCCCUCUCGUGGAAGAGCCUGCCCGUCACAGUGGCCGCCUUCUCUGCCCUCAUGAACAUGGCGGCCUCGGUCACCUACCCGCUGAUGGUGCUGAGUGUGGCCAUGGCCCAGGAGAACUGGAGCGAACUCUCUCCUCCUUACCAGAUCGCCGCCGCCCUCGCCUCCUGCCUGGCCUUUCUGGCCUACUCGGUCGAGCUCCUCGUCCUCCUUCUCCUCCUCAACAAGGACGGCGAGGGCAGAACGGCUUACAUGGCGACCGGCCCCGGUCUGCUCAAGGUUCUCGAGGUUUCUCUGGCCUGCGUCGUGUGCGUUACCCUGACAACCGUCAGCAGUCCGGAGUUCGCGGGCUUCCGUUGGGCCGUUGGCGCGCUCUGCGCCUGCGCCCUGCUCUCGCUGGCGGUCAUCCUCAUCAUGGUGGGCGAGUGUCGGGCCCGCUGCCCGUUCCCCUUCCCCCGGCUCCUGCUGGUCUUCAGCGUCCUGGCCUUCCUCCUGCAGGGGGCCGUGCUGGCGGUCUGGGCUCUCCAGCUCCGUCGCGAAGCCCGAGGGCCGGACAAGUGCUCACAGAUGAACUGCCGCUGGAACCAGAUGCUUCUGUCCGCCGCUCUCAUCGCCCUGAACCUCACGGCCUACCUGACCGACCUGAUUUACUCCAUCCAACUGAGCUGCUGCAGGAGCUGACAUUCUGCCAGACUGUGUCCUGGGCUGAGGAUCCUUUGCAUCACUCCCAUCUGGGAGAAUGAUUGGAAGAAUGUGGGCAGAGUCUGCACAAUUUCCGUCUUUACUUACAUAUCCAAUCUAGACCAGGUGCUUCCAUGGAUGACAUUAUCUGCUUGUCAAAUGAUUCACUGUAUGAUCCUGGAAUGUAGGUGCUCAUCGUGCUCCCAGUUCCCAUAAAUAUGGAAUCUUUGAACUAGACAGUUUCCGCCAUUGUCUUCCACUGAAUCUUGGGUUUCAGACAAGACUGUAGUUUCUCAAGUGAUGAGUUAGCAAUCAGUUGAAGACUGAAUGAGUUGCUUAUGUGUGACCCUCAAAGGUCAGACUGUACACUGUCUGACGAGGAUGCUUAUUUAGUGAGUAGCACAGAAAACCUUGAAUUCUAUUUGGUUUAAACUGUAUCAGUUUAUGUGUUUAAUAUAUUUUGUAUUUUAUAAAUAAGGCAAUUCUGUUGGG
This is an RNA transcript of Hemiscyllium ocellatum (epaulette shark), 1609 nucleotides long. It is a transcript of the gene named myeloid-associated differentiation marker homolog, with no coding region annotated. The record is from RefSeq and is a predicted model, not a curated record. NCBI's taxonomy places the organism in Eukaryota, Metazoa, Chordata, Chondrichthyes, Orectolobiformes, Hemiscylliidae. The transcript has 3 exons.